RNAcentral lists this ribosomal RNA (447 nucleotides) under uncultured bacterium. Its description in RNAcentral is "bacterial SSU rRNA". It matches the Rfam family "Bacterial small subunit ribosomal RNA", at positions 330 to 793 of the family's 1533-position model. The record is from RNAcentral.
UCCAGACUCCUACGGGAGGCAGCAGUGGGGAAUAUUGCACAAUGGGGGAAACCCUGAUGCAGUGACGCCGCGUGAGCGAAGAAGUAUUUCGGUAUGUAAAGCUCUAUCAGCAGGGAAGAAAAAUGACGGUACCUGAGUAAGAAGCACCGGCUAAAUACGUGCCAGCAGCCGCGGUAAUACGUAUGGUGCAAGCGUUAUCCGGAUUUACUGGGUGUAAAGGGAGCGCAGGCGGUGCGGCAAGUCUGAUGUGAAAGCCCGGGGCUCAACCCCGGGACUGCAUUGGAAACUACCGAACUAGAGUGUCGGAGAGGUAAGUGGAAUUCCUAGUGUAGCGGUGAAAUGCGUAGAUAUUAGGAGGAACACCAGUGGCGAAGGCGGCUUACUGGACGAUAACUGACGCUGAGGCUCGAAAGCGUGGGGAGCAAACAGGAUUAGAUACCCGUGUAA